This 213-nucleotide ribosomal RNA is filed under the name Triticum aestivum (bread wheat). Its description in RNAcentral is "partial small subunit ribosomal RNA". Lineage: Eukaryota; Viridiplantae; Streptophyta; Magnoliopsida; Poales; Poaceae. The record is from RNAcentral.
AUGAUCUGUAUAAGCUGGAACUGCCGGGGGCUUGGGAACCCCGAGGCAGUUCGAGAGCUUCGCCGACUGGUGAAGCAAGAAGGUCCUGCCCUGCUGUUCGUCAUGGAAACCAAAAUCAGGGCCAAGAGAGUAGAAGACCUGCGAUACCAACUGGGUUUUGCAGGCUGCUUUGCUGUUGAUAGUGUUGGAUUGAGCGGAGGAAUAUGCCUUUUU